GGGCGGUUAACUCAGCGGGAGAGUGUCACGUUGACAUCGUGGAAGUCGGCAGUUCGAUCCUGCCAUCGCCCA
RNAcentral lists this transfer RNA (72 nucleotides) under Candidatus Ornithospirochaeta stercoravium. RNAcentral's name for it is "tRNA-Val". It matches the Rfam family "tRNA". From Rfam's summary of the family: Transfer RNA (tRNA) molecules are approximately 80 nucleotides in length. Their secondary structure includes four short double-helical elements and three loops (D, anti-codon, and T loops). The record is from RNAcentral. RNAcentral also lists the same sequence under 2 other names. Lineage: Bacteria; Pseudomonadati; Spirochaetota; Spirochaetia; Spirochaetales; Spirochaetaceae.